UUUUAAUGAUGAAAAAAACAGACCUGAUUUGAAAAAAAUUUGAGAAUGAUAUUUCUACUUCUGAAAAAA
Molecule: small nucleolar RNA, 69 nt
Filed under: Plasmodium gonderi
Lineage: Eukaryota; Apicomplexa; Aconoidasida; Haemosporida; Plasmodiidae
Description: small nucleolar RNA snoR25
Rfam family: small nucleolar RNA snoR25
Source: Rfam by way of RNAcentral